AGCAGUCGCCGCGGGAAUACGUAGGUGGCAAGCGUUGUCCGGAAUUAUUGGGCGUAAAGGGCUCGCAGGCGGUUCCUUAAGUCUGAUGUGAAAGCCCCCGGCUCAACCGGGGAGGGUCAUUGGAAACUGGGAAACUUGAGUGCAGAAGAGGAGAGUGGAAUUCCACGUGUAGCGGUGAAAUGCGUAGAGAUGUGGAGGAACACCAGUGGCGAAGGCGACUCUCUGGUCUGUAACUGACGCUGAGGAGCGAAAGCGUGGGGAGCGAACAGGAUUAGAUACCCGCGUAGUCCCUGUCUCUUAUAC
RNAcentral lists this ribosomal RNA (303 nucleotides) under uncultured bacterium. RNAcentral describes it as "partial 16S ribosomal RNA". It matches the Rfam family "Bacterial small subunit ribosomal RNA", at positions 507 to 807 of the family's 1533-position model. The record is from RNAcentral.